This is a long non-coding RNA of Anopheles funestus (African malaria mosquito), 2365 nucleotides long. RefSeq lists it as uncharacterized. The record is from RefSeq and is a predicted model, not a curated record. The transcript is spliced from 4 exons. NCBI's taxonomy places the organism in Eukaryota, Metazoa, Arthropoda, Insecta, Diptera, Culicidae.
AUACUUUACGUUACCGAUAAGAAACUACAAUAACGUUCCGUUCUUGUCAUUACGCCAAAAAAAACUGAAUACAAUUUCAAAACCAUUCAUCUGUGUCCUAAAAACAAAAACAAAAAAUGUCAAGACGGUGUGGUAAGGACAAUAGAAAAUAAAAGUAAAAAAGCUUUUUUAUUAAGGUUAUUCAAAAAAUACGUAUGCAUAAAGAUAUUAACAGAUUCAAUAGAGACACAGAACAAUCGUUCAUUGCGGAAAAUGUUAAACCAUUGAGGAUAUUAAAUCCUAAAUGUUGAGUGUUUAUCAAGCAUAAUUAGAUGAAAUGGUAAGCGCAAUAAUUUCCCAUAGCAAAUAUGUAGCGAAAAAUCAUUAUGUAAAAUUUAGCAUAAAUAAACGUAACUAAGCUUGCAUGCGCCUGAAUCGAUUAGACCAUCAUGGCUAGAUAUUGUUCAUUCCAAACCUUUCGACUUCUCAUUUCAAGUGCUUUGAAUGUUUUACGGGUUUCAAAUGAGCAGGAAUUGGAAGGGUUCAUCUGCUCUGAUCCAUGCUUAAAAAAUCAGAUCCGAUCCAUUAAUAUAUCACAUGAUCCAAAUAUGGCAAAAAUUAUCUGUUUUGAUCCGGGAUCACCUUUGUAUGUAGAAGUAGAUCACUAUUUGGGAUCAUCGGGCAUAAUUUAUGCUGUGAGAGUCCAUACUAUAACUGGCAGAGGCGCCCGCCGCUAUCAAUAUUAGCAAAAAAAUAAGUUGUGCCUAAUACCUGUGUUUAUCCGGUCAGGGCUGAUUAACGAUGAGCACGGCAAGGUGGCAUUCAACGGCAAAGUAGGUGUCCCAGUUUCAGUUUUAUUCCACUAUAAAUACUUAAAUUUAAUUUUUAUUUCAUCGAAUGCAUGAAUGUUAAAAAUAUCGACUUUCAUUAUUGAAAUGCUUGAAAAAGGAUAAUUUUUUUUAGAGGACACAAUUCUAUCCUCUUUUGAGUGGGCUUAAACACAUAUGUUUAGAUUUGUAAAAAAAUGUUUAAUUUUAAUUUUAUUUUUAAUGGUUUGAAAAAGCAUUUUCAAAAAACGGUUUUACAAUGUCCGUUGAAAUUAGCACCGUGUGAGCUAUUGCUUGUCUAGGUUUUUUCUGUUUGAAUAACGUAAUAUUUUCACAGGGCGAUCUUUCUGAAACUGUCAUCAAAAUGUCAUACGGAAAUAUCAUAAGCGUGUAAACCGCGGUAAAUGUUAUUUACCGGAUAUUUUUAUCCGGAAAUCCACGAUUAACUUACGGUAUACGAAACGUUGCCAGAUUUGCAAGCAAUGAAAGAGAGCGUAGAAACUUUCUACUCACAGAUUUUUUUGUGUAAACUUUUGCCGAACCAUGUUACAUGUAAAUACCGAACGAGAAAUGCCGGACUUCCACGGUGUUCGGUAUCAGAUUAUGGGUGGUGAUUUUGCCUUUAUAAUCGCACUAGAGGAUCCUGCCGGAAUGGCAUUAUACGAUCAUAUUAGCAGCAGAUACUGUCAAAGUCUAGGCAAAAAGCAAAUCGAAAAAUGCCGAUGUAAAUUGUUAUUGUUCCUUGAAUUUGAGAACAAAAUGUCCUGAAAAGUGACUAGUGGUGGAAGUUACAGGCACAAGCAUUAAGGUCAAUGCAAAUACGAUUUGUUCCUAAAGCGUCCACACAUAGCGUCACAUCAUACAUGUGAAUGGUGAUUUUGCAUUUGUGAUCGCACUGGAAGAUCCUGCUGGAAUCGCAUCGGAGGAUCAGAUCAGCUACGGGUAUUGUCAGAGUUCGGGCAAAAAUCGAAUCCAAUAAUGAUGAUGUAAAUCUUCGUUGUUUGGCUUCAGUUUAGAAACAAAAUGUGCUGCAAAACGAAUACCGAUGGCAAUAACAGUCACAAGCAUUAAGGUCUACGCAAAUUCGUUUUUUCCUAAAACGUGAAUGUGUUCGGACAUAGCACACUUCAUUAUCGUUCCAUUAUGUUACAGGAGGAUGCUGGCUUUGUGUUCACAAUGGUGAAUCCUGCUGAAAAAGAAAGUAAUAACACACAGUACACAGAGUAUCAUCGGUUACAUUCAGUUUGCUGACAAUCUACGUACCCGAUGCUGAUGAUCGACGGAACGACACUUGCAUAGGGUAUGUUAUUUAUUAUUUUUCGGCUAAUGUGGAUAAAAGCCAAAACAAUUAUUUAAUGGUUAUACGGUGCCAAGGGAAGGGGAGGUUCGAUAAUUGUAACACAACUGUUGAAAAAUUGUAGGAAACUCUCAGAACCUCCUAUGUACCUGAGCUAGGAAAAUUAAUAGCAAAAUGUGUUUUUCGUUAACGCAUUUACGUUUACUUAUCAAUCUUCAAUCUAAAUCUGAAUCAAUCUUCAGCGUAUGGGAGAAAAAAUUAA